GAUGAACGCUGGCGGCGUGCCUAAUACAUGCAAGUCGAGCGAACAGACGAGGAGCUUGCUCCUCUGACGUUAGCGGCGGACGGGUGAGUAACACGUGGAUAACCUACCUAUAAGACUGGGAUAACUUCGGGAAACCGGAGCUAAUACCGGAUAAUAUAUUGAACCGCAUGGUUCAAUAGUGAAAGACGGUUUUGCUGUCACUUAUAGAUGGAUCCGCGCCGCAUUAGCUAGUUGGUAAGGUAACGGCUUACCAAGGCAACGAUGCGUAGCCGACCUGAGAGGGUGAUCGGCCACACUGGAACUGAGACACGGUCCAGACUCCUACGGGGGGCAGCAGUAGGGAAUCUUCCGCAAUGGGCGAAAGCUUGACGGAGCAACGCCGCGUGAGUGAUGAAGGUCCUCGGAUCGUAAAACUCUGUUAUUAGGGAAGAACAAAUGUGUAAGUAACUAUGCACGUCUUGACGGUACCUAAUCAGAAAGCCACGGCUAACUACGUG
This 497-nucleotide ribosomal RNA is filed under the name uncultured bacterium. Its description in RNAcentral is "partial 16S ribosomal RNA". It matches the Rfam family "Bacterial small subunit ribosomal RNA", at positions 28 to 507 of the family's 1533-position model. The record is from RNAcentral.